Molecule: ribosomal RNA, 654 nt
Filed under: Mycobacterium sp.
Lineage: Bacteria; Bacillati; Actinomycetota; Actinomycetes; Mycobacteriales; Mycobacteriaceae
Description: bacterial SSU rRNA
Rfam family: Bacterial small subunit ribosomal RNA
Source: RNAcentral
GUCCCACCGCCCGUAAAACGGGUGGGUACCUAGGGUGUGGGGUUUCCUUCCCUUUGGGAUCCGGUGCCGGUAGCUAACGCCAUUUAAGUACCCCGCCCUGGGGGAGUACGGCCGCAAGGGGCUAAAACUCCAAAGAAAUUGACGGGGGCCCGCACAAGCGGCGGAGCAUGUGGAUUAAUUCGAUGCAACGCGAAGAACCUUACCUGGGUUUGACAUGCACAGGACGUGCCUAGAGAUAGGUAUUCCCUUGUGGCCUGUGUGCAGGUGGUGCAUGGCUGUCGUCAGCUCGUGUCGUGAGAUGUUGGGUUAAGUCCCGCAACGAGCGCAACCCUCGUCCUAUGUUGCCAGCGGGUUAUGCCGGGGACUCGUAGGAGACUGCCGGGGUCAACUCGGAGGAAGGUGGGGAUGACGUCAAGUCAUCAUGCCCCUUAUGUCCAGGGCUUCACACAUGCUACAAUGGCCGGUACAAAGGGCUGCGAUGCCGUGAGGUGGAGCGAAUCCUUUCAAAGCCGGUCUCAGUUCGGAUCGGGGUCUGCAACUCGACCCCGUGAAGUCGGAGUCGCUAGUAAUCGCAGAUCAGCAACGCUGCGGUGAAUACGUUCCCGGGCCUUGUACACACCGCCCGUCACGUCAUGAAAGUCGGUAACACCCGAA